CAUUCUCAGUUUCUUCUACUCUCAACUCUAGCUUUCUCUGUCUCCAAAAUGGCGAUUUUUCUAGCCCUCCAACCUUCCAUCUUUCUCUCACGAAUUAUCAACAACAGUGUUUUCUUGUCGGAAAAAUCACUCAGCCGCUACAACUUCUUAGAUUUUUCAAUUCGAUCCGAUCCAAUUUUUUUACCCAGAAAAGUUGGCAUUUCCUGGCUCGGGUCCUCCUCUUCUUCUUCUUCACCCAAACCAACAACCCCACCUUCGAUUGUUACCGAUGAAAACAUCACGAAUUGAGGCGCAACACCAAUGCUGUAACAGUUAUAAGAAAAGAGCUUCAAACCCACAAAGGUCACUGAAGCUGAUAUCGAAGUGUUCAAAGCAAACUAGAAGGGAUUUUAUUUUUAGAAGAAGGAUUUGAUUGAUCUUUACAGCUAGUGCAAGGGGAAUAUGAAUAGGUAUUAGCUUUAUUUUUCACUGCAUUUAUCUUUUUGGUCAUUUGGAUUCCUGUUUCUGUUUGAUACUUGCAUACUGUUCUAUUCAAUGAUAGGUUCUGAUCCUAAACUCGAUUCACACUGUUUCAAGGAAAUUCUUAUAAGGCAAUUGCUACAGGGAUGGAGUGAGCGAAUCACAGUUCAACCAAGUCUUCAACGAUGAAUUGAGCUAGAUCAUUGAGGUCUCUUUGUCAAGUUAAUUUUUCAUUCUAAUUGUUUCGUGGAAAUAGAAAAUGUUCAGACCUAAAUUUCCUUAUUCUAUAGUUAUAGAUAGUACUGGUAGCGUGCAUUUUUGGUUUUACUUGGUUAAGAUUGUUAUGGAAGCACUUUAUAUGAGUUGCAAAAUGCUCUUGGUCAAAUAGAGAGAGAAAAAAAGGGGAAAUGUGAGUCGGGCAGUUAAAUAGUGUAAAAUUUUAAAAUUACAAAAGUUUGUUAGUUGUGUUAAUAAUUGCUUUUACAUGUGUAUGCUGGUAUUUGUAUCAUUCUUUUUGCAUAUAUAUGUUGGUAUGCUUCAUGAGUUGAUGUGCUUAAAACUUAAUGUUCUUUGCUAUACACUGUUUCUGUUGCAGUCCUAUUAGAUUUGGAAUGUGAUUGUGUAAAUUCU
This 1089-nucleotide small RNA is filed under the name Malus domestica (apple). RNAcentral describes it as "sRNA MD13G0181200". Lineage: Eukaryota; Viridiplantae; Streptophyta; Magnoliopsida; Rosales; Rosaceae. The record is from RNAcentral.